AUCGAUCAUGGACAUGGAUAGCCUGUCCCUGCAGGACUACUUCAGCUGCCUGCUAUUGCUUGCUCUCCUCUACUCCCUAACCAAAUGUUUCUACACUGCAUCCGCCCGCUCCAGCGGCCAUCGCGGCCUCCGGCUCCCCCCGAGCCCAUGGCAGCUCCCUAUCAUCGGCAGCCUCCACCACCUGGCCGGCGCGCUCCCACACCGCUCGCUGCGCCGCCUCUCGCAGCGCUACGGCCCCAUCAUGCUCCUCCGGUUCGGCGAGGUGCCGGUCGUCGUCGUUUCCUCCGCUGAGGCCGCCAGGGAGGUCAUGAGGACGCACGACGUGCUGUUCGCCACGCGGCCCCAGCUCGCGGCCAUCAACACCCUCACCAAGGAAGGCCACGCCAUCGCGUUCACACCGUACGGCGAGCACUGGCGCCAGAUCCGCAAGAUCUGCGCCGUGGAGCUGCUCAGCGCCGCCCGCGUCCGGUCGUUCCGGCCCGUCCGCGAGGAGGAGGUGGCGCGGCUCGUCGGAGCCGUCUCGUCGGCGUCAGGUAACAAUUAGCUUAUGAACCUCAGCGAGAUGAUUGCAGCGUAUGUCGCCGACACCGCGGUUCACGCCAUCAUGGGGAGGCGACUCGACGACCGCGGCGCCUUCCUCAGCUACGUCGACGAAGCCGUUCGGUUGGCCAGUGGCUUCAGCCUACCUGAUUUGUUCCCGUCUUCAUGGAUCGCUCGAGCUCUGAACUGGAGGGAGGCGCGUAAGGCGGAGGUGUACCGAGAGGGAUUGUUCAAGUUUCUUGAUGCUGUGAUAACCGAGCAUAUGGAAAGAAAGUCGCAAGACAGCAACUCGCAGGAAGACUUGAUAGAUGUCCUCCUGAGGAUUCGAAGCCAAGGCUCAUCUCAGUUCCUUACUAUGAGCAUAAUAAAAGGUGUUGUUUUUGAUCUUUUCUCAGCUGGGACUGAAACUGCUGCAACAACGUUGCAAUGGGCCAUGGCGGAGUUGAUGAGGAACCCUGACAUGAUGUCCAGGGCGCAAGCUGAGGUAAGGGGAGCCUUCAUGAGCUGCGGAAAGGUUGUGGAGGAGGGAUUGAGAGAAUUGAAGUACCUGCAUUGGAUCAUCAAAGAGACCCUGCGCCUGCACAUUCCCGGCCCGCUGCUGAUCCCAAGAGAGUGCCGAGAAACUUGCAAGGUCCUGGGCUACGAUGUGCCCAAGGGUGCUAUGGUGCUCGUGAAUGCAUGGGCAAUCUCGACGGAUCCACAUUGCUGGGAGGAACCAGAAAGGUUCAAGCCAGAGAGGUUCGAGAGUGACACAAGAGACUUCAAAGGGAAUGACUUUGAGUUCACGCCGUUUGGAGCCGGACGACGUAUUUGCCCUGGGAUGUUAUUUGGGCUUGCUAAUGUCGAGCUUGCUCUUGCAAACCUUCUAUUCCAUUUUGAUUGGAGCCUACCUGACAGCAUUCGUCCCAGUGAACUAGAUAUGACUGAAGAUAUGGGAAUUACGGCAAGGAGAAAAAAGGACCUCUGGUUGAGAGCUACAGUGUGUUCGAAUCUGCCCCAUUAGAUAACUAUUUCAAUGUAUCAUGCUAAAAAAGACAGAAUUAUUUCAAUGCAUGCUUUGUAAUCCUUGGUUGGCCCUUUGCUUCACGCUCUUGGGCCAUCCAAUUAUAUAUGUACUAGUCUAUCAACCCAUUCUCCUGCACGGGCUAAUUAGAAUUAAUAUAAGAAUAAGGUCAACAAUUAUAAUUAUCUA
RNA transcript from Panicum virgatum (switchgrass), 1732 nucleotides. It is a transcript of the gene named desmethyl-deoxy-podophyllotoxin synthase-like, with no coding region annotated. The transcript has 2 exons. The record is from RefSeq and is a predicted model, not a curated record. NCBI's taxonomy places the organism in Eukaryota, Viridiplantae, Streptophyta, Magnoliopsida, Poales, Poaceae.